UUUAUAUAAUAACUACAGUGAAACACGCAAUUUGAUUGGUCAACAGCCGUGCAGAGGGUCCUGAAGGGGUAAAAUGGGAACUGGGAUUGAUCUAUAUUUAGACUGGGAAAAUGGGAUUUGGGUUGCUGGGACUGGGAUUUGGCCACUGGGAAUGGGAAAUGAAGUCCUCAAAAAUGGGAAUGGGAUUGAGGUAAUGCGAGUCGAUUCCCAAUUUUUCUACGUUUUAAGUAUUUUAAAAUACACUUUUGAUCCGUUUUUGGUGUCUUUGGACAGCACUACCUGCGAACAGGCAAACUCUGGCGCCCUGAAUUCUGGGUUUUCUGAUUAUGUGUGUCCCCAAGUCAGAUGCACAACCUCGUACCCAGGGUCUUUCCCCUUGGGGAGCAAAGACCCUGGUAGACGCUGGUCACGUGAUCUGCUAAAAUCCAGCAGAUUUCUAAUUAACUAUCUUGGUUUUCUUUACGACAAUCAUACAAAAUGCAAAUUAUAAAUUAAACUAUCAAAAUAAUCCAAAUAUCAAAUGUUUAUUGACCUGAUCUUGGAUGCUAAUUUGUUAGAUUUUAGCAGAUCACGUGACCAGCGUCUACCAUGGUCUUUGCUCCCCAAGAGGAAAGUCCCUGGGUACGAGGUUGGUCAGAUGCACAGUGGAAUAUACGCCUGG
Non-coding RNA from Paramuricea clavata, 661 nucleotides. Lineage: Eukaryota; Metazoa; Cnidaria; Anthozoa; Malacalcyonacea; Plexauridae. The record is from the annotation of a GenBank genome assembly.